GCGGGUAUAGUUUAGUGGUAAAAGUGUGAUUCGUUCCAUUAAUCCUUUAAUAGUUAAAGGGUACCUUCGGUUUGUUUGAUUAAUAUUCCGAUUAAAAACUUUAUUUCUUAAAAGGAUUAAAUCCUUUACCUCUAAAUCAAAGAUUAGAGGAAGAAUAGACAUUCUCGUGAUUUAUAUCCAAAAGAGUAAAUUAGAAAUAAAAAAAAAUUGGAUUAUGAGAUUACGAAACAUAAUUUAUUUUUAAUUGGAUCAAUACUUCCAAUUUUUUGAGUAUGAGUAAAGGAUCCAUGGAUAAACAAAGAAGGGAGUAUUUCUAAUCGUAACUAAAUCUUCAAUUUUAUGAUUUGUAUAAGAGAAAUUGAAGCAAAAUAGCUAUUAAACAAUGACUUUGGUUUACUAGAGACAUCGACAUAUUGUUUUAGCUCGGUAGGAACAAAAUGCUUUUCCUAAGGAUUAUUAAAAAUAGAAAUAGAGAACGAAGUAACUAGAAAGAUUGUUAUGAUCCCCCUCUUCUAUAGGGAUCAUCUAGAAAGUGGGUUGUUUUGAAUGCAUUCAAACAGAAAAGCUGACAUAGAUGUUAUGGGUCGAAAUUCUUUUUAUUUUUUUUUGUAAGUUCGUUUACAUCUGAUAUCUGUGGAAUUUACUCAUCUUCCAUAAAGGAGCCGAAUGAAACCAAAGUUUCACGUUCGGUUUUGAAUUAGAGACGUUAAAAAUGAUGAAUCAACGUCGACUAUAACCCCUAGCCUUCCAAGCUAACGAUGCGGGUUCGAUUCCCGCUACCCGCU
RNAcentral lists this transfer RNA (785 nucleotides) under Carya sinensis. Lineage: Eukaryota; Viridiplantae; Streptophyta; Magnoliopsida; Fagales; Juglandaceae. The record is from RNAcentral.